AUUGAACGCUGGCGGCAGGCCUAACACAUGCAAGUCGAGCGGAUGAAGGGAGCUUGCUCCUGGAUUCCGCGGCGGACGGGUGAGUAAUGCCUAGGAAUCUGCCUGGUAGUGGGGGAUAACGUCCGGAAACGGGCGCUAAUACCGCAUACGUCCUGAGGGAGAAAGUGGGGGAUCUUUGGACCUCACGCUAUCAGAUGAGCCUAGGUCGGAUUAGCUAGUUGGUGGGGUAAAGGCCUACCAAGGCGACGAUCCGUAACUGGUCUGAGAGGAUGAUCAGGCACACUGGAACUGAGACACGGUCCAGACUCCUACGGGAGGCAGCAGUGGGGAAUAUUGGGCAAUGGGCGAAAGCCUGAUCCAGCCAUGCCGCGUGUGUGAAGAAGGUCUUCGGAUUGUAAAGCACUUUAAGUUGGGAGGAAGGGCAGUAAGUUAAUACCUUGCUGUUUUGACGUUACCAACAGAAUAAGCACCGGCUAACUUCGUG
Molecule: ribosomal RNA, 484 nt
Filed under: uncultured bacterium
Lineage: Bacteria
Description: partial 16S ribosomal RNA
Rfam family: Bacterial small subunit ribosomal RNA
Source: RNAcentral